CCUACGGGAGGCUGCAGUGGGGAAUAUUGGGCAAUGGGCGCAAGCCUGACCCAGCAACGCCGCGUGAAGGAAGAAGGCUUUCGGGUUGUACACUUCUUUUCUGAGGGACGAAGAAAGUGACGGUAUCGCAGGACUAAGCCACGGCUAACUAGGUGCCAGCAGCCGCGGUAAUACGCAGGUGGCAAGCGUUAUCCGGUUUUAUUGGGUGUAAAGGGCGUGUAGGCGGGAAAGCACGUCAGAUGUGAAAACUCAUGGCGCAACCCUGGGCCGGCUUUUGAAACUGUUUUUCUUGAGUGCUGGAGAGGCGAUCGGAAUGCCGUGUGUAGCGGUGAAAUGCGUAGAUAUACGGAGGAACACCAGUGGCGAAGGCGGAUUGCUAGACAGUAACUGACGCUGAGGCGCGAAAGCGUGGGGAGCAAACAGGAUUAGAUACCCGUGUAGUC
RNAcentral lists this ribosomal RNA (443 nucleotides) under uncultured bacterium. Its description in RNAcentral is "partial 16S ribosomal RNA". It matches the Rfam family "Bacterial small subunit ribosomal RNA", at positions 338 to 795 of the family's 1533-position model. The record is from RNAcentral.